GUUGUGGUUCAGUGGAAGAGUGCUCGCCUACACCAGUGAGGUGCUGGGUUCGAUCCUCAGCACAACA
RNAcentral lists this transfer RNA (67 nucleotides) under Marmota monax (woodchuck). RNAcentral describes it as "tRNA.Val". Lineage: Eukaryota; Metazoa; Chordata; Mammalia; Rodentia; Sciuridae. The record is from RNAcentral.